CUUGGUCAUUUAGAGGAAGUAAAAGUCGUAACAAGGUUUCCGUAGGUGAACCUGCGGAAGGAUCAUUACCUAGAGUUGUAGGCUUUGCCUGCCAUCUCUUACCCAUGUCUUUUGAGUACCUUACGUUUCCUCGGCGGGUUCGCCCGCCGGCUGGACAAAACUUAAACCCUUUGUAGUUGCAAUCAGCGUCUGAAAAAACUUAAUAGUUACAACUUUCAACAACGGAUCUCUUGGUUCUGGCAUCGAUGAAGAACGCAGCGAAAUGCGAUAAGUAGUGUGAAUUGCAGAAUUCAGUGAAUCAUCGAAUCUUUGAACGCACAUUGCGCCCCUUGGUAUUCCAUGGGGCAUGCCUGUUCGAGCGUCAUUUGUACCUUCAAGCUCUGCUUGGUGUUGGGUGUUUGUCCCGCCUCUGCGCGUGGACUCGCCUUAAAGCAAUUGGCAGCCGGCGUAUAGAUUUCGGAGCGCAGCACAAAACGCGCUUUGUUAGCAAUACGGUGGCAUCCAUCAAGACUUUUUUUAACUCUUGACCUCGGAUCAGGUAGGGAUACCCGCUGAACUUAAGCAUAUCAAUAAGCGGAGGA
Molecule: ribosomal RNA, 581 nt
Filed under: uncultured fungus
Lineage: Eukaryota; Fungi
Description: eukaryotic LSU rRNA
Rfam family: 5.8S ribosomal RNA (bases 211-364)
Source: RNAcentral